CUUGUUUAUUUUGGUUGCUUCUGCAAAGAUUAGUAACAUUCACAGAUUCAUAAGGCACAGGUGAUCCAGUGCAAUUCAAAGAUAAUAAAAAACCAAAGUCAUUGGAGUGAUCUUUUGGACUAUUUCUCCCAAUAUGAAAUGGAACUCUGAGUUCUUGAAGAGCUUGUUUCAGCAAUUCUCAUCUUCAAACUAUUGUAAAUGUUACAAUACAGAAUUGUAUUGGACUGGUGUCUGAUAUGUUAGGAACUGAGCCCAUGUGCAUAAUUAUAAAUAUGUAUUUAUGGAUGUACAGUCUCCAUAGGAUUUGUUUGUUGCUUUCAAUACUUUCAGAUUAAUAACUGAUUUGCUGCCAUGCAGAAGUCCCCCAAGGAAUUACAUUAGAGAAUCAUUUGAAAUAUUUGCAGAACCUCCCAAGCAGAAGAUAUUAUGAAUGCUAAAUGCAGAGAGAGAUAUCAUCCAUUUUUCACUCUGGCUGUGAUAAGCAAUAUGGAAAAAAAAGAGAGAGAAAAGAAGUCUCAAUAACAAAAUCCACAUUGAAAAGUUAGGCACUUUGAACUUUCCCAUCACCUUACCAGUGUUUCCCCACAGGCUGUCUAAAAGACAACUCAGCAAUGUCUGAAUGGGGCUGCACACAAUGGCUCCUUCACAAGUAGGUCUUUAAUUGAUUACGGCUGUGUUUAUAGAAGCAGAAGAGAAUUUACUCAAAAUGACAGAUUGCCUUUAGUGUUAAAAUAGUUUAGUAAUGUUAAUGGUAAAGGAGGUCCCCGCCACCUCCUCCUCAGCUGCAUGAAGCCCUAAAGAUGAGCUCUUUGUUCCUGCAGCCCCCAAUCGCUUCUUGCUCUCCCUCCUCCCCUCCCCGCUUCUUUCGUGCUUCCAGAGCGGGAUGCUCCUGGCUCCAGGGCCACAUUCACACAGCCGGCUCCUGCGGAGAUGACACCCCUUUCAGGAGUCAACUCAAGAAAAGAGGAUUAACCCUCCAGUCAUCUAUACAGUCCUUCCUGGUAGACUGGAAAGAUCAGUAAAUGAAAUCUCAAGAUGAAAUCUUGUCAGGAAUGGAGCAGUGCUGUGGCCCUUGCUGUUGCUCAGCCCAAACAGAGCAUGAAGAGAACUACAGAAACAAGAAUUUCCUCUCUCCCACUUCUGAGGCAGCAGUAGCAUGGGUAAGCAUUAAAUGAGUGUAAUGUGUGGCAAUCCUGCAGAACUGCUGUGCCCACAC
Zonotrichia albicollis (white-throated sparrow) is the source of this 1216-nucleotide long non-coding RNA. NCBI's taxonomy places the organism in Eukaryota, Metazoa, Chordata, Aves, Passeriformes, Passerellidae. The record is from Ensembl.